Molecule: long non-coding RNA, 1096 nt
Organism: Cavia porcellus (domestic guinea pig)
Lineage: Eukaryota; Metazoa; Chordata; Mammalia; Rodentia; Caviidae
Exons: 4
Source: RefSeq, a predicted model, not a curated record
CACCAAGAAGGAGGUGCCCUCAAAACUCAGACCGCCAAACAGCCUCAAGUGGCAGGCUGGGACAGAUUCCACUCACAUCUUCCUUCCCCUCUCAAUGAUCCAGUGAUCCUUCCCCUCUCUUCUGUCCACCUGUGGAAUACAAGCAUGAAGUUUCAGAGAACUUUUGCAUGAUCUUUUGAAGCUGAAAGAUGCUAUAAACUUUCUUCCUAGAGCAAUGAGCCAAGAUUCAGAGAAGUGACUACCUGGAGACAUACAGAUUUCUUAAGAAACCGAGUCACUGCUGCAUGCUCGGAUUCCAUCUGCUGUAUGAGAUCACCUGAUACCUGCAAGCAACCAGGUGUUCCUUUCAGAAACCAGAAGGCGAUAACCCAGGCAUUUGGAUCCAUACACCAGCCUGUGUUCUUUGCAGUGGAGGCCUUAGGAAGGAGAGUCUCCCCAAUGGCAGGAAAUUCACUGAAAAAUAAAAUAACUCCUAAAGAAUUUUAAAGACAAUAAUCCUGUGAAUCUGGGCUCUGGACCUGUGCUUUUCAUCUGCAAACCGUUUCCCCCACCCCAAGGAAGCAACAACACUGGUGGGCAGCAGAUUUCAACUUUAAACACCGGCAGAUGGCUUGCACUGUGACCAACAGCCAGCAAGGAGGCACGUCCUGGAACACCAUCUUGAAGAUGCCCCAACUCAUAAUGCUCACAACGCGCCUUGUCCCUCAGCACCUGCACUCUCCUGAAUGCAUCUUAAAGCCUGUCUGAUAAACCACCUCGUGUAUCUUACUGAUGUGUCCUGAAAAUUCUUUUUCUAUGACACAAGUCAGGGAAUCUGCAAACCCAUUAUAUUCGGGUGGGAUAAGUCCCAUAUUUCAGCCUUGGUGGCCCUCAGACCACCAGCCUGGUGACAGGCUCAUUUGAUGAACUCACCCACAAUAGGCUCCAAAUUUUGCGAUUAUGCCAUGAGGAACUAUUACUCAAGGGAAGGGAAUAAAAUUUGUAUGGUAUGAGCUGGUGUUGAGAAGUAAAUUUGUGGAAGUAGGGAUAAGAAUAUCCCUUUCAGAGCAUGACAGGGACUUGGGUCCUGUGAAGGCUCCAUGGUUAUCUGGCUAUG